AAUGAGGUGGCUGAGCACAAGCAAUAGACUGUAGAUCUAUCCACGAACUAUUUCUCUCAUUA
RNAcentral lists this transfer RNA (62 nucleotides) under Glycera unicornis. RNAcentral describes it as "tRNA-Tyr". The record is from RNAcentral. Lineage: Eukaryota; Metazoa; Annelida; Polychaeta; Phyllodocida; Glyceridae.